AACUGAAGAGUUUGAUCAUGGCUCAGAUUGAACGCUGGCGGCAGGCUUAACACAUGCAAGUCGAGCGGGGGAAGGUAGCUUGCUACUGGACCUAGCGGCGGACGGGUGAGUAAUGCUUAGGAAUCUGCCUAUUAGUGG
Molecule: ribosomal RNA, 138 nt
Filed under: Acinetobacter baumannii
Lineage: Bacteria; Pseudomonadati; Pseudomonadota; Gammaproteobacteria; Moraxellales; Moraxellaceae
Description: partial 16S ribosomal RNA
Rfam family: Bacterial small subunit ribosomal RNA
Source: RNAcentral